AGUGAACGCUGGCGGUAGGCCUAACACAUGCAAGUCGAACGGCAGCACAGUAAGAGCUUGCUCUUACGGGUGGCGAGUGGCGGACGGGUGAGGAAUAAAUCGGCAUCUACUUUUUCGUGGGGGAUAACGUAGGGAAACUUAUGCUAAUACCGCAUACGACCUACGGGUGAAAGCAGGGGAUCUUCGGACCUUGCGCGAUUGAAUGAGCCGAUGUCGGAUUAGCUAGUUGGCGGGGUAAAGGCCCACCAAGGCGACGAUCCGUAGCUGGUCUGAGAGGAUGAUCAGCCACACUGGAACUGAGACACGGUCCAGACUCCUACGGGAGGCAGCAGUGGGGAAUAUUGGACAAUGGGCGCAAGCCUGAUCCAGCCAUACCGCGUGGGUGAAGAAGGCCUUCGGGUCUUAAAGCCCUUUUGUUGGGAAAGAAAAGCAGCAGGUUAAUACCCCGCUGUUCUGACGGUACCCAAAGAAUAAGCACCGGCUAACUACGUG
Molecule: ribosomal RNA, 492 nt
Filed under: uncultured bacterium
Lineage: Bacteria
Description: partial 16S ribosomal RNA
Rfam family: Bacterial small subunit ribosomal RNA
Source: RNAcentral